GUAACCGCUAAGUCCACAACACAAUCUUCUUGACAAGGUCUCUUCCUCUUGCUCUUCUUCCUGCUUCCAUUUGACACCCAGGAAGACACUACUGCAGGAGAAGCAAUUCUGGAUCAAUGCUUGGGCUCCAUAUUGGGAGGCCAUUUACAGCUCACCUAUCUCAAUGAACACCUUCAGGAAUAAAGGAAUACAUAUGCAAGUGAUCAUAUCCAUGGAGCUCCAAACUUAGACUUCUGCAUGAUCACAGCAAUAUAAACAAAGACAAUGUCUAUAUGACUCUAAGAAGGCACAGCCAAAAAAGCUUUGAACAAAGAUGUGUGCAGCUGAGAAAUGGAAGUCAUACAUAGUUUUCCAUCACAGAGUACCAGAGUAUCUGAAACAGCAAUUUAAAACAUGCUCCAAGAAGUUUUGAAUUUCCCUGUAAUUUCAGAUGGAACUUUACAAUAAAAUAAAAUGCUUCAUAAAAG
This 467-nucleotide long non-coding RNA is filed under the name Heterocephalus glaber (naked mole-rat). RNAcentral's name for it is "lncRNA (ENSHGLG00100048847.1)". Lineage: Eukaryota; Metazoa; Chordata; Mammalia; Rodentia; Bathyergidae. The record is from RNAcentral.